CAGCCGUAAACUAUGCGCGUUAGGUGUACUGGUGACCACGAGUCACCGGGGUGCCGAAGGGAAACCGUGAAACGUGCCGCCUGGGAAGUACGGUCGCAAGGCUGAAACUUAAAGGAAUUGGCGGGGGAGCACCACAACGGGGUGGAGCCUGCGGUUUAAUUGGACUCAACGCCGGAAAUCUCACCGGAUAGGGACAGACAUAUGAUAGUCGGGCUGAAGACUCUACUUGAUGAUCUGAGAGGAGGUGCAUGGCGUCAGUGACUGU
Molecule: ribosomal RNA, 265 nt
Filed under: uncultured archaeon
Lineage: Archaea
Description: partial 16S ribosomal RNA
Rfam family: Archaeal small subunit ribosomal RNA
Source: RNAcentral